RNAcentral lists this ribosomal RNA (462 nucleotides) under uncultured Sphingobacteriales bacterium. RNAcentral's name for it is "bacterial SSU rRNA". It matches the Rfam family "Bacterial small subunit ribosomal RNA", at positions 920 to 1382 of the family's 1533-position model. The record is from RNAcentral. Lineage: Bacteria; Pseudomonadati; Bacteroidota; Sphingobacteriia; Sphingobacteriales.
CCCGGCACAAGCGGUGGAGCAUGUGGUUUAAUUCGAUGAUACGCGAGGAACCUUACCUGGGCUCAAAUGUAUGUUGACGUAUUCUGAAAGGGAUACUUCUUCGGACAAUAUACAAGGUGCUGCAUGGUUGUCGUCAGCUCGUGCCGUGAGGUGUCGGGUUAAGUCCCAUAACGAGCGCAACCCCUAUCAUUAGUUGCCAUCAGGUCAAGCUGGGGACUCUAAUGAAACUGCCUACGCAAGUAGUGAGGAAGGUGGGGAUGACGUCAAAUCAGCACGGCCCUUACGUCCAGGGCUACACACGUGCUACAAUGGCCGGUACAAUGGGCUGCGAUACCGUGAGGUGGAGCGAAUCCCAAAAAGCCGGUCUCAGUUCGGAUCGGGGUCUGCAACCCGACUCCGUGAAGUUGGAUUCGCUAGUAAUCGCGCAUCAGCCAUGGCGCGGUGAAUACGUUCCCGGGCCUU